RNAcentral lists this ribosomal RNA (3429 nucleotides) under Triticum aestivum (bread wheat). RNAcentral describes it as "partial small subunit ribosomal RNA". Lineage: Eukaryota; Viridiplantae; Streptophyta; Magnoliopsida; Poales; Poaceae. The record is from RNAcentral.
AUGGCUCCUGUACCUGUAGGGACUCUCAGUUCAUCACUCUUCACAGCCACCGUCCUCCUCACUUUCUUGACCUCUUUUGCCCCUUCUUCUUCAUUAGAUGGCACCCUGCUGGGUGAUGAAUCUGGUAAGGACUUCCAGGCACUCCUUUGUCUCAAGAACCACCUUUCUAACAAUACCGAAGUCCUCGCCUCGUGGAACAAUACCCUCCAGUAUUACAGUUGGCCUGGUGUCACCUGUGGCAAGAAGCACGCAUCUCGUGUCACAGCACUUGACCUUGAAUCGCUAGGCCUGAAUGGCCAGAUACCACCCUGCAUUGGUAAUCUCACUUUCCUCGCAAGAAUCAACCUCCAGGAUAACCUGCUGAAUGGUGGGAUCCCGCCUGAGGUAGGUCAUCUGCGUCACCUUGCUCAGCUCUCCCUUCCAAAUAACAAUCUUGCUGGCGUAAUACCGAACUCUCUUUCUACCUGUUCUAGCCUUCAGACUAUUGAUCUCGGAAGUAACUCCCUCCAGGGGGAGAUACCUCUAGGUUUGACCAACUGUUUAAAUCUCACAGACAUCUUACUCGAUAACAAGCUCAAUGGAAGCAUUCCAGAUGGGUUCGGCAUGCUUCCUAAGCUUUAUGCUCUGUACGUUCCUGGCAACAAGUUGACGGGCAGUAUUCCUUACUCACUUGGAAGCAGCCCAUCACUCUACUUUGUUGUGCUGGCAAACAACAGCCUAACUGGGGGCAUCCCGCCUCUCUUAGCAAAUAGUUCAUCACUUGGAUGGCUGGAAUUGGGAAGCAAUGACCUCGAUGGAGAGGUACCUCCUUCUCUCUUCAACAGCUCAUCUCUUGAAAUCAUAAUAUUAAACGGAAAUAAUUUCUUUGGAUCAAUUCCACCUUUCUCACCCACCUCGCCAUUGCAAACUCUGUCCCUAUCAUUCAAUAAUAUCACAGGAAAAAUACCUUCCUCUGUUGGGAACUCUUCUUCCCUUCUUGAGCUUUUGCUUGCAGGGAAUCACUUGCAAGGCAACAUUCCAUGGAGUUUAAGUAAAAUCCCAUGCUUGGAAAAAUUAGAUCUGACUAACAACAACUUAUCAGGAGUCGUUCCAGGCUCUCUCUAUGAUAUAUCGACACUCAAAUACCUUGGCAUGGGCAAUAACAUCUUAACAGGAGAAAUUCCAGAAAAUAUUGGCCACACCCUUCCAAACAUCCAGGCAUUCAUUGUUCAGGGAAACAGAUUCGGAGGUCGUAUUCCCACUUCAAUGGCUGAGACCACAAAUCUUCAGAGAAUUAAUCUCCGUGACAAUGCAUUCCAUGGUAUUGUUCCUUAUUUUGGGUCUUUGCCCGACUUAACUGAACUAGAUCUAGGCAAGAACCAACUCGAAGCUGGAGACUGGACUUUCCUCCACUCGCUCGCCAGUUGUACAAAGCUGGCUAUUUUACGCUUAGACGCGAACAACCUACAAGGUGAACUGCCAAAGUCCAUAGGCAAUCUUCCAAAAAGCUUAGAAUCUCUAUUGUUGACAGCGAAUAAAAUAUCUGGCACCAUACCACAUGAGAUAGGGAACCUUAGUAGCCUCAAACUUCUUUACAUGGAGCACAAUCUGCUUACUGGAACCCUUCCUGACUCACUUGGAAACCUUUCAAACUUGUUCGUUCUAAGCUUAUCAGGAAACAAGCUAUCUGGCCAAAUCCCACUUUCAAUUCAUAACCUCGGCCAACUAAGUGAGCUCUAUUUGCAUCAAAAUAAUUUGAGUGGACCCAUCCCAGUAGCUUUAGCAGAGUGCAAUAAGUUACACACCCUAAACCUCUCUUGCAACUCAUUUGAUGGAACAAUACCAAAAGAACUAUUUACUGUUUCCACACUUUCUGAAGGUCUUGAUCUCUCUCGCAACAAACUCUCUGGGCAUAUACCAGUGGAGAUUGGCAAAUUAAUCAACCUUUCCCCCCUCGAUAUUUCCAACAACCUGUUGAUUGGAGAAAUUCCCUCAACUCUAGGCGAGUGCCUCCAUUUAGAGUCCCUCCACCUGGAAGGGAAUCUACUUGAUGGGCGAAUCCCUCAAUCUUUCGCUGCAUUGAAAGGCAUCAGUGACAUGGACCUUUCUCGAAACAACUUGUCUGGUCAAGUUCCAGACUUCUUUGAGGCUUUCAGCUCCAUGUCACUUCUCAAUUUGUCAUUCAACAACCUGGAGGGGCCCAUGCCAACUGGUGGGAUCUUCCAAAAUGCAAGCAAGGUGUUCGUCCAAGGGAACAAAGAGUUGUGUGCUGUCUCGCCACUAUUGAGUUUGCCACUUUGCCACACAGCUGCCUCUCAACAAAGGCAUAGAUCCAACAUUGCGAAUAUAGUAGGACUUUCUGUUCUUGCCUUAGUGAUGUUAUCAUGUUUUGGAGUCAUUUUCUUGAAGAAGAGAAAGAAAGUCAAACAAGAAGAUUAUCCAUCCUUUGAGGAGUUAAAGAAGUUCACAUAUGCUGACUUAGUGAAAGCAACAAAUGGUUUCUCAUUAGCCAACUUGGUUGGUUCAGGAAAGUAUGGGUCCGUAUACAAAGGUAGAAUUGAGUCUGAAGAAGAUGCAGUUGCUAUCAAAGUUUUCAAACUUGAUCAGCCUGGGGCGACGAAAAGCUUCGUUGCUGAAUGUCAGGCACUCAAAAACACUCGUCAUCGUAAUCUUGUAAGGGUGAUCACUGUAUGCUCGACGAGUGAUCUGACAGGACAUGAGUUCAAAGCUCUUCUCCUUGAAUAUAUGGUUAAUGGCAACCUUGAAAGUUGGCUCCAUCCAACACUCCACGAGCAACAUCUGAAAAGGCCCUUGUCCUUGAGUUCAAGAAUAGCAAUAGCAGUGGACAUAGCAGCUGCUUUGGAUUACCUGCAUAACCAAUGCAUGCCUCCUAUGACACACUGUGAUCUGAAGCCAAGCAAUGUCCUUCUGGAUGAUGUCAUGGGCGCAUGUGUUGGUGACUUCGGGUUGACUAAGUUCAUACACAGUUAUACUUCAAGGAUUGAUGGUUCUACAAGCUUAGUUGGACCAAGAGGAUCAGUUGGAUACAUUGCACCAGAAUAUGGCUUUGGGAGCAAAAUCUCCACUGAGGGUGAUGUUUACAGCUUUGGAAUCAUCGUCUUAGAAAUGCUCACAGGGAAGCGUCCAACUGAUGAGAUGUUUAAAGAUGGCCUGAGCCUUUACAAUUUUGUGGAAAAAUCAUUUCCUAAAAAGAUUGGUGAGAUUCUAGAUCCGAGAAUCAUUCCUUAUUAUGGGGACCAAGAUGAAGAAGCAGCAAGUAGUCCAAACCAAGAAAAUCAUCAGCAAAUGGCUGGAAUGAGCUGUAUCAUCGAGCUCGUUAAGAUUGGCCUCAUGUGCACUGCGGAGACACCCAAAUAUCGCCCCUCGAUGCAGGACGUUUACAUUGAGGUCACCGCAAUCAAAGAAGCAUUUUCAGCACUGCAGGGUUGA